Molecule: long non-coding RNA, 430 nt
Organism: Lingula anatina
Lineage: Eukaryota; Metazoa; Brachiopoda; Lingulata; Lingulida; Lingulidae
Source: RefSeq, a predicted model, not a curated record
UCGUGGAUUGGGGGUUCACUUCUUCGAUGAGUUCAUUUUCUAUCCAUUUUAAGCUAUUGAUUAAAGCUUCAAUGCACAGUUGUCAUUUUAAAUUGGAGUUACCUUUCUCUUUUACCUCCUGGUUGAUUGUAGUGGAAUUUGUGACCCAUGAACAAUAAAUGCAGUUAUUUAGAUAACAAGCAAAGAGAAAAAAAAUGGAGAAAUGGACCAGUGCACGUACUGGAGUACAGUAUUUUCUUGAAGAUAAACAUACAGUACACCACACCAGCAAGGCCAGUGACAAGAUUGGAGCCAGAAGGGUACAUUAGGUUUAGGAACAGAUUCAGCCGGUUGAUGGAUGUUUUAUCACCAGAUGUUAUAUGCUGUACACAGUGAUGAUGCCAGCAUGACAGAUAUAAUUCCACUUGGUCGGGUACGGCCUUUAUUCAAA